RNAcentral lists this long non-coding RNA (15989 nucleotides) under Erythranthe guttata (spotted monkey flower). RNAcentral's name for it is "long non-coding RNA (EGUT_LNC002219)". Lineage: Eukaryota; Viridiplantae; Streptophyta; Magnoliopsida; Lamiales; Phrymaceae. The record is from RNAcentral.
GGCCGGAAGGAGGCUUGGAGAGGAGGGUUACGGUGAAUGGCCGGAUUGGUUGUCGUUCGGUGAUAGGAGGCUGCUUCAGGCAUCGACGGUGAAACCUGAUGUGACGGUGGCAGCUGAUGGGAGUGGGAAUUAUCGUACGGUUUCUGCAGCGGUGGCGGCGGCGCCGGAGAGAAGCAGUAGGAGGUAUGUGAUUAGGAUAAAAGCUGGAGUUUACAGAGAAAAUGUGGAAAUUCCGAAGAGUAAGACUAACUUAAUGUUCGUCGGAGAUGGACAAGCGACGACCAUUAUUACCGGCAGCCGGAACGUAGUUGAUGGCAGCACCACCUUCAAUUCCGCCACUGUUGGUUAGUCCUUUUUUCACAGGCUAACUUUUGCACCUAUAAUUCUUCAAGAAAAUAAAGUUUAAUAUGUAUACUUACUGUACUCAUUUGGUUUUCGUGCUGCAGCGGUUGUGGGCGACGGGUUUCUGGCGCGUGAUCUAACAUUCCAAAACUCGGCGGGGCCAUCAAAACACCAGGCGGUGGCGCUGCGCGUGAACGCCGAUCUCAGCGCGUUCCACCGUUGCGGCAUGAUUGCCUAUCAGGACACAUUAUACGUCCACUCCCUCCGCCAGUUCUACACCGGGUGCUACGUCGCCGGCACCGUAGACUUCAUAUUCGGCAACGCCGCCGCAGUACUGCAGAACUGCGACAUCCACGCCCGCCGCCCCAACCCCGGCCAGAAGAACAUGGUCACCGCCCAAGGCAGAGACGAUCCCAACCAGAACACCGGAAUUGUCAUCCAGAAGUGCAGAAUCGGCGCAACCGCCGAUCUAGUCCCCGUCCAGAGCAGCUUUCCGACGUAUCUCGGACGGCCGUGGAAGGAAUAUUCCAGGACCGUCGUUAUGCAGACUCAGAUAAGCAACGUCAUCAAUCCGGCGGGGUGGUUUGAGUGGGAUGGGAAUUUCGCGCUAAACACUUUGUUCUAUGCGGAGUAUAAGAACACCGGCGCCGGUGCUGGAACAGCGAAUAGGGUUACGUGGAAGGGGUUCAGGGUGCUGAAGAGUGAUGCGGAGGCGCAGCCUUUUACGGCGGGGAGAUUUAUUUCCGGCGGGAGUUGGCUGGCAGCUACGGGCUUUCCGUUCACUCUUGGCCUUUAAUUAAUCCACUAAUUAUUGCAGCUACUCCAAUCGAGUGUUGUUUUUACUUUUUUAACCUCUCCAAUUUGCAUUUAUCUGAAUAAUCCGGUCUUGUAAUAAACUGGCCGAUUCCGUUUUUUUUUUUUUUUUUUUUAGGCCCAUGCUAAUAUUAUCUAUCUUUAAUACAUUAAAUUUUAGUUGUUGUAAAAUCAAUGAGCUCAGUCCCAUAAACAUAUAUCAAAGGCCCCUACCAUUUUUAUUAUAAUUAUUUUUAAUGCAAGUAAUUAAAUCCCAUUCCCACAAGUUGUUGAUUUGUUAAAUAAAUGUUUUACUAGAGUCAUAAAAUAUUUGAAAACUAAAUACUAUGGUAGUAGUUAGAUUUUGUAUACUUUAUUUCUACAAAUAAACAAAUAAAUAAAUAUCAGUAUAUUAUAUUUUUUCACGUCAAGUCAAAUUCAUCAAAUUGUCCUUUGUGGAAAAAUGAUUAGACAGUAGUUGCCUCAAUAUUAAUGAUUAACAACAUUCCAAAACGGUGUCGGCUAGACCAAAUUAUUUAAUCCUUUGCUGCUAACAAACUCCAUUAUUAGGACAUCAUUUGUCUGUUAAACAUUAGUUAAUACUCCUAAUAUAGUAAGUUAUAAUGUUGGUUUCAUGCUUAACAGAAGAGCGAGAAAAAGAAGGGGAUUUCUUUAUUUUUUUAUUUUUUUAUUUUUUUAUUUAAUGAUUAACUGAGAAAUAUUAAAUAAUAAAUGGGAGGGGCAAUUAAUUAACUGCAGAAUUCAGAUAUAUUCAAUAGAUUUAGGUUGGUCCGUUGGUCGUAAUAGGGAUGCCAACCACUCUUUUUCAAGAAUUAAUUGGCAAAAAAAUAAACAUAAAAAUACUAUUCGAUGGUGCAGUAUUUUGCACCGUAGAAACCUUCUUCCAAAUCCAACUUCAAUUCUUCAUUCAUCAGAUAGUAUGUCCGGUGCUUGUAUUUAGCUAGCGAAGACGAACUAAUCGACCGGAGAAAGAUAAAAACAAGAUAGAAAGAGAUAAUUUGGAAAACGAGUGUGUUAUCAAUAGUUAAAUCACUGUGAUCGUGUUUAACUCGCUCGCCUUACACCUAGGGGUGAGGAAAAAAAAUCCGAAAACCGAAAAACCGGACCGAAAACCGAAAAACCGACCCGAAAUAUGCCGUCCCGAAGCAAGAACCGCAUAUACGGUUUUUUAUUUCCGCCGAACCGAAAUUUUCGGUUCACACUCGGUUUUUCAAGUGGUUAACCGAGCCGAUGUACCGAACCGAUCCGAAACGACGUCGUUUUGAUAGGGCCUAAUAUAUAUUCCUGAUUUUUUUUUUUCUCUGAAUUUUAAUGUGCCCCAGCCCAAUAACCCGCCCCAGCCCAAUAACCCGCCCCAGCUCGUUUCUUUUUGGGCUUUGUUGGUUCAAAAUGGGCUGAAUUAUUUUUAGCAUAUUUUGGGCUUAUUUAAAUUUAGUUUAGAGAAAAAAAAGGGCUGAAAACCGACCCGAAAACCGGAACCGUUAAGAAACCGAACCAAAAAUUUAGGAACCGAAAAAAAACCGAAACCGAAAAAAAAAACCGAAAAACCGACUAGAACCGAACCGACAUGAACCGACCGGUUUGGUUUUUGGUUCUUCGUGAACCGACCAUUUCGGUUCCAGGUUCGGUUUUAGGCUAAAACCGACCCGAUCCGAGCCGAUCUCACCCCUACUUACACCUGUGUAUAUAGUUUGUACAUAGUUGUAUUAAACUCGCUUCAUCUAUUCAUGGAAUACUUCUUCGGGUAUCUUUUUUCAACGGUUCUCAUUCAGCUCGCCACUUAUCCUAUUGAUCGUCUUUAGUAUGUUCUAAUGGGUUGGUGAGCUUAUUAACUGCAUAACCUUGAAACAUCGUUUUAACGAGCUUGGCACUAACGCGUUUUAUUCCUAUGAACUUUUACACAGGCAUUGUCUUUCACGUGUAUUUGAUCGGUGAACUCAAUAAAUCUUUUAGAACCCAUACAUUUUAUUCUUAUACUAAUUUAAUAAGCCCAAUAUGAAAGGUUUGGUCCAAUCUUACCAAACUGAAAUCCAUCAACAUUAGUCCAUAUGAUGUGUAGGUGCAUAAUGCACAUAUAUAAAUUCAAUGAAUUUUCUUAUUUUUGGAGAAUAUUCGAAUAUAAAUAAACAAAAUAGUGUAUCUGGAAAGUGGAAAAGUAUGUCAUUUGUACAGCGUGAGAUGCAAUAACUAGAUAAGAAGGGGACCUCAAAACUCGACAAGAGCGCUGGACUAAUAGUGAUUGAUGCCUCACACCCCCACCCCCCAACCCCACCCCACCCCACCUUUUUUUUUGCCAAAAGAUGCAAUAAAAUAAAUUAAUUAAUUAAUUAAUUAAAAGUUUUAUUGGAAAUGAAUAAUCCAAACUAUUAAUAAAAAUUGAAAAUGACGACCGCUCACAUGAUGUAAGUUUAAAUUACAAAAACCCCUAAUCUAUUUGGUAAUUACAAUCAGCCCUCUCAACUAUGAAUUUUCUACACAUCCAUCUUUAUGGUGUCUAAGUGAACAAAAUCUUAUAGAUUCCGUAGAAUGGGCGCUAGUUUGUUUUCGUUUUGUGCAAAAAUGCAGUUUUUGAUGCAUCAAAAUUUGAUAUUUACAGACACAUCUUACGAUCAUCCCGUUUGAACAAAUCGAGCUCGAAUGGAAUAAAACGAGUACAAAUUGAAGAAUAUGUAGAAUUAUUUUUGGUAAUCUGACAUUUCCUCCCGGUGACCGUUUGUCCGACUCUUAAUAAAAAUUGGGAAAAAAAUAAAAUAAUAAGAUAUUUCCAAAAACAGGUACAGAAAAUUCACGUGGAAGGUAGAUAAUCCUAUAUAUCCUGACCAUGCAAAAGCAAUUAAUCAUUCAUAAAGAUAACACAAUUUAUUUAUUUAUUGUGUCUACAACAUUUUCAGGCCUUUUCUUUUUUCACACCGACACAUCCAUGGAAAAUAUGCAGUCAGAAAACAAGCCCAAAUCCAGGCGCAAAUUCAUUCUCCUGUCGGCAUUAUCUUCUCUGCUACUUGUCGCUGUUGUUUCUGUCGCCGCCGUACAAUCCCACAAGCAUGCCUCCAUCCACGGCGCCGGGGUUGCUAAAUACAGUGUCAGCCACUACUCGGUGGUCAAGUCAACCUGCUCCGUCACGCUGUACCCGGAGCUCUGCAUUUGGACGAUCCAGGAGGCGGCUCCGGCCGCCAGCAUGAAGAGCAGCAGGGACGUUUUGAUAACCGCCCUCAACUACACAAUCUACACUGUGGAGCGGAACUACUUCACCGUCAAGAAAGUGGGGUCCACCCGGAGCAAGUCGCUGACGGCGCGUGAGAAGGGCGCGCUCCACGACUGCCUGGAAGUUAUCGAUGACACCCUGGAGGAGCUCCGGGACACGGAAAUGGAGCUCAAGGACUAUGGAUACAAGAACUACACCAUCGCCGACCACAAGGAGAAAAUCAUGUCCCUCUUGAGCGCGGCGCAGACAAACCAGGAAUCCUGCCUGGACGGAUUCUCCCACUACAACGCCGAUAAGGUUGUCCGGAAAGUUCUGCUCGCCGGUCAGAAGCACGUGUUCAAGCUCGUGAGCAAUGUGCUCGCCAUAAUCAAGAACCUGGCCGAUACUGAAAUGGCCCAGUUGAAUUCUUCGCCGGCGGCGGAGGGGAGGAGGCUUGGGGAGGAGAGUUCCGGUGAGUGGCCGGAAUGGAUGUCGGCCGGAGAUAGGAGGCUGCUUCAGUCAUCGACUGUGACACCUGAUGUGACGGUGGCGGCUGACGGGAGUGGGAAUUUCAGAACUAUUGCUGCGGCGGUGGCGGCGGCGCCGGAGAGAAGUACUAGGAGGUAUGUGAUUAGGAUAAAAGCUGGGGUUUACAGAGAGAAUGUGGAGAUUUCGAGAAGGAAGACUAAUUUAAUGUUCGUCGGAGAUGGACGGUCGACCACCAUUAUUACCGGCAGCCGGAAUGUAGUUGAUGGCAGCACCACCUUCAAUUCCGCCACUGUUGGUUAGUCCAAAUCAUUUAAAUUACUUCAACAUUUAAUAUAAUUUUCUGGUCUUAAUUAUCAAAAUAAAAAAAAAAAAACUAAUUUUCUGGUUUUGUUUAAUUGAUUUAAAACGACGACGUUUGUAUGAUUAAGAAUAUCAUUGUAGGGAAAUGACGUUACGGACCCCAACAUUUCAUUAUUUUUACUUUUUAGACUAAAAGCCGCCGGCCCCACAAACAUUUCUUUUUCUUUUUCUUUUUAAUUUUAUUCAAUAAUUUAAUUGGAUAGGUAAUCAAUAGAUGGGAACAACUUUUUUCGUUUCGAUUUCAAAUUUGAAUUUUCAAUUGUUUCGAUUUCGAAUCUGAUUUCUUUCUUAAAAUAAUAUCAAUAAAAUUAAAAUUAUUAUAUAUUUACUAUGCAUCAUAUAUUAGGGAUAAAACAAAAAUAAAGUUUCUCCAAUCCCAAUAUCGAUUUAUUUUUUCAUUGUGGUUUAUGAAAUCUAAUUUUCGAUUUGGAGCAAAUUUUUAAUUGAAAUCAGAAUUAACAUAUUGUGAAAAGUAAAUCCCAAUUUUUUUUUUUAAAUGUUAAUAAAUCAGAAAACAAAUAUUUAGUAUAAUAAUUUCGUUUGCAUGCAGCGGUUAUCGGCGACGGAUUUCUUGCACGUGACAUAACAUUUCAGAACACCGCCGGACCGUCAAAGCACCAGGCGGUGGCGCUGCGGGUCAACGCCGACCUCUGCGCCUUCUACCGCUGCGACAUGCUUGCAUAUCAGGACACCCUAUACGUCCACUCCCUCCGCCAGUUCUACACCGGCUGCCUCAUCGCCGGAACCGUCGACUUCAUCUUCGGCAACGCCGCCGCCGUACUCCAGAACUGCGACAUCCACGCCCGCCGUCCCAACUCCGGCCAGCGGAACAUGGUCACCGCCCAGGGCCGAGACGACCCCAACCAGAACACCGGAAUUGUUAUCCAGAAGUGCAGAAUCGGCGCCACCUCCGACCUCCGCCCCGUCCAGAGCAGCUUUCCGACGUACCUUGGACGGCCGUGGAAGGAAUAUUCGAGGACCGUCGUUAUGCAGAGUGAGAUAAGCAACGUUAUUAAUCCGGCGGGGUGGUUCAUGUGGGAUGGGAAUUUCGCGCUCAACACUCUGUUCUAUGCGGAGUAUCAGAACACCGGCGCCGGCGCUGGAACGGGGAGCAGGGUGACGUGGAGGGGGUUCAGGGUGCUGACUAGUGCUUCUCAGGCGACGCCUUUUACGGCGGGGAAUUUUAUCGGCGGCGGGAAUUGGUUGUCGGCUACUGGCUUUCCGUUUUCUCUUGGCCUUUAAUUAAUCUCCGAGGAAUGGAGUGUUGUUUUGUGCUUUUAUUAUUGUUUUUUUUUUUUUUUGGUCUCCAAUUUGUAUUUCUGUGAAUAAUCCGGUCUAGUGAUAUUAAGACCGGUCCAUUUUGGAAUUUUCUCAAUAAGAAAAUGAUUGUUUUAAUUUUGUGUUUAAUUACGAAAACAUCCCCAUAUUGAUGCGAUUACUAAACUUCUCCCGACGUUUGUUUUAGUCUUACACUGACUCCCUUAAGGUGUGAUGUUUCACGAAAUCUUUUUAAUUCGAGGGAAUAUUACUCAAAAAAUGCCGAUUCUAGCCCUGCAGACGUGGCAGUUCUUUAUGCUACAUGGAAUCUUUAUUUUUCUUGAACAGCACAUUCAUAACUUUUUAGUAUUACCAUUACCCCCUCUGAGGGUAAUUUUUAUCUUAAAAUAUAGCAUAAAGAAAUGUCACGUCUGCAAGGUUAGAAUUGACAUUUUCGAGAAAAAAUCGAUGGAAUCAAAAAGAUUCCGUAAAAAUUGACAUAGUAAGGGUGUCAAUGUAAGACGCAAACAAACAUUGGGGGAUUUGAUAAUUACUGAUAGAUGGGGGAGUUUUCGUAAUUUAGCCUAAGUUUAGGGGGUUUUUGUAAUUUACCCUAAAUAGUAACUGGGCUGGACUCGAUAGAAGGAAACAAUAUUGGGUCAAUUCAAAGAAUGUAUUUGGGUUGAAUAAAAGUUAUUUAUUAACUGGACCUAAUAUAAUUCUUUGGAAUAUCAUAUGAUCCAAUUUCAUGCUAUUUUUUUUUUGUUAUAAAAAAUAAUUAAAAAAAAAAACAAAAAACAAAAAUAAAAAAAUAGUUAGAGAAAUCAGAAAAGAGAAAGAGAACAUCAAUUCUUAACAAUCAACUUUGGUAACAUGGAAUAAAUUUCAGCAUAUAAAAGGAAUUAGAAUCCCAUGCGCAAUGUCUAUAAUGUCAGGUUUUCCUCGAUAUCUUUGGCAAUGUUUGGUAUUGUUUUUAUUUUGUUUUCAUUGAUUCCUCAAAAUAAAAUUAUAUUUAUUACACUUUUUAAAUAAUUUUCUUAAAAAAUCUCAAAAGUUUUUCUCUCUUUCAGAUAUGAUGUGACUGCUAUAGUAAAAUGAUUUGACUGUUACGCUAAAAAAUGUUUUCACUAAAAAACAAAUAAAUAUCACUUUAUCUUUCAAUUUUUUUCUUCUCAAAAUACUUUUUUCUUACACUUUUAAACAUGAUGUGACUGCUACAGUGUGUUUUUUCUCCUUCCAAAAUAUAAACAAACAUUAUAUUACUUUCAUUCUCAAAUUCUUCCCCCAAAAUAUAUUUCCUCAAAAUGAAAAUCAAAAUAAGUUUCAAAACGCUUCCAAACUUUAAAUAAUAGGUAUAAGUAGUCUCGCAAUAGAUGAUCUAGUGAUUGGAGCAUGUGCGCAUGUGUAAAUUGACGAAUUAAUCCCUCAUUGUCAAUGAUCGCUAGACGUAACUCGUCACACAUACAUUCUUAACUUAAUGUGAUUUAUGUCUCUCGUAUGGUUUCCAAGCUAUUAUACGAGAAUGUAGAACCCGGCGCGCCUACAUAGUUGGUUACGUUGCACAUUGAUGAUGCCAGAGAUAAAUCACCUAAUGUAAUUGAAAUAGGAUGGGCUGGAAGAGCAAAUUAAGUGGAUCACUUGCUCACGAGAUUGAUGACCUUGAGAUACUUGCAAUUAGAGAACACGUAAACUAAAUCGGGGUUGAUUUGACGAAAAACCCUACAACGCUCAAAUCAGACGUGUAGAUUACAAAAGUCGUAGAACGAAUACGAGCAGUAGUAUUGUUCGGAUAUUGGAUACCUUAACAAAUGAAAUGUAAUCUUUAUGUAUAUCAAGUUGGUUGGGCUGACCAACCCUCUUUAGUAGAGUUGGUACCUAGCAUUUACCAAUAGGGUAAAGGUCUAGGGUUCGAGUCACCCCUCCCCUACUUCUCCUUGUAAUGGACUUAAAUUUACUCAAAAAAAAAAAUUCGUUAGGCUGAAGUUACUUAAUUAUAAUUGUUGGACCCAAACCUUAUUUUAAAUCGGCCCAAAUAAACAUAUCUUAUAUGAUUGAUGCAUAUUUUUUCAUUGCCGAAAAAAAUAAUAAUAAUAAUAUUAAUAACUAAAAUAAAUAAAAAAAAAGAGAGUGACAGCUCAAAAGGGUUUCGACGGAUCAAAACGCAUGUGCAUUUCGGAUACGUAAUGAAAAUUUAAUGCAUGCCCGAACUUACGCAUUGACCAAUCUAUUAUUUAAUAUGAUGUUUUAAAUAUUUAUUAAUUUAUUAUGAAGAAAUUCCGCAAUAACAAACACGCUUAUAACUAUUUUGGCCAAAUAGUUCAUAGGAAAAAACGCGCUUUUUGGGCCCUCUUUAAUUAAUGGGGAAAUAUGCAAUACCCCCCUCAUUUGAAAAAUAUUUUGAUAUAAACCCAAUUGACUUUAAAGACUUUUUUCAAAACCCAAAUCCCAAUCUAAAUUAGUGAGACCCCCCUCACCAGACAUGAUAAGACUAAAGUGCCCAUGUGUUAGGUUUUUAACGUGAUAUAAUUUUAUUUCUCACUCUUGUAUAUCUCUCCCUCUUUCUCUCUCUCUCUUCUCUCUCACUCUCGUUCUCAAUUGCUCUCUCUCUCUCUCUCUCUCUCUCUCUCUCUCUCUCUCUCUCUCUUUUUCUUUUUUUUUUCUCCCCUGCAGAUCAACUGCCAUCGCCGCCAUCCUUCUCCUUCUCCGCACCACCGUCGUAGUCCGCUCACCCUGGCUACCGAUCACAGCCGCUCACCGCACUACACCUAGCCGUCCGCCUCGGAGAUGCCACCGUUGUUCGCGUCCUCGUCACCGCCGGCCGGCCGAAAUUCAAUUUCUCUUCUUCUUCUCAAUUAAAAAAAUUAUAAAUUCACCCCACUCUCUCUCUCUUUCAUUCACCGUCGUUGUCCUCGCCUCACCCUCCAUCCCUUUCAUUAUUUUCGAUUUUUUUCAUUUUUUUUUCUCUCCAGAUCUAAACAGCAGCAUCAACGUGACUACUCUGGUUCGAAUGUGACUAUUGUUGAUUCACUCGAUUAGUUAAACUGUGUUUGAAGGUCAGAGGUUCUGCUUUAAUUUUGUUGGUUUCGUAAUUGGGGCUGGGUUGUAGUGUGUGUAUUCAGAUAUGUGUGUAUGUAUAUUUAGAACCGAAUUUUCAUUGUUUUUUUUUUGGGUCGUCUUAAUUGGUGUCAAUGAUCGUUACUGAUUGAAAUUUUAUACCGAUUAACGCAGAGUCACGUUGUGACUACUCUGUAAAUCUUUUGUUCGUUUUGCGUUAAUUGAUACGAUAGUGUAAUUUUAUUGUAAUUUGUUUUUUUGCGUUACUUGAUAUGUUUCAAUGUGUUUGUUGUGGUUGAAUUGAAUUCACAUAAUAUUAUGUGAUUUGCAUUUACAGAGUAGUGCAGAUUUAUUCAUCAGAAGUAGUCACGUAGUAGUCACAAUCUCGUUUUUUUUUUGUAGUGCUGCACAUCAUGUCGUCAACCUUGAUGAUUGUGUUGAAGUAUGGAGGCUCGUUUGGGGUGAAGAUAUGUCAGGUUGAUUUUGUGUAUGAAGACCUCGUUGGCUUUGUCACUGAUAAGUGGUGCAGUUUGACUUCGAAUAUGACUAUAGCCAUAUUUAUGUAUUUUUCGAAUAUGACUGUAGUCAUAUUCGAAUAUGACUGUUGUUGAAUAUAAUCUAUAUUCUCGUUUUCAAGUUGGCUUCUAGUAAGUAAAUUCAAAUUGAUUUUUUUGUGUGGAUAUUGAUUGAAUUAUUUUCGUAAACAAUAGGGAAUCUUCGUUGUUUUAUAUGAUUUGGUAAAUAUGACUAUGCCAUAUAAUCGGAAUUUUUAAGUUCAAAAUAUAAAAAAAACGCAAUAUAAAGAAAAAAUAUGACUACAGUUAAUAUGCCGUAAGCAUUCGUAAUGUGCUGGUGCAAGUGUUACAUCCUCAAAGAAUGAAACAACUGACUUCAAGCUCCCUCUGAAUUGUGAGGUCCACGUACCAUGGUCAAGCACUUGACGUGCCAUGUUUCGAGUUUCAUCUGAAAAAAAUCAAUUUUCUGUAUGUUACACACAUAUGCAACCAUAAAUAAGUCAUUCUACCAAUAUGACUACAGAAGGUUACUACAUCAAUACACCAAUUCAAUUACAGGUUUUCAUUAUAUGCUCAAACCAUAUCACAUUCCCAAUGCAAAAGUUAAAAAUUCAUAGCAUGGAAGGUGGUAAUGUGGCUGUAUAACUACAUAUUCUGGCCUAGUCACAUAUAGUUUAUGAUGGUAAUGUGACUAUGUAAUUAACAAUUUACCAACUUAGUUAGCAUUAUUCAUCUAUGUCAAUGGAAGGUCUUUAAACACAGGGCUACAACAUGACUCCAUAUGAAUAGACCACAACAUCUAUUGUUGGCAAUUAAUACAUCAACGCAUACCCCAAAAAUGACUGCUGCCCCCAAAAAUAUGUGUACAAAAGUAAAUCUCAUCUGAAACAACAAAAUUGAUCUAAUCUGGAUCUACGAUCACACAUGCAGACAUUAUACCAAUAUGACUACAGAAAAUGACUAUAACAAUACAACUAAUGACAUCAACAUGCAGACAUAUACCAUACAUUAUAUCAACAUGACUACAUAAAAUGACUAUAACAAUACACUAAUUUAGUUACAAAUUUCUUUAACAUACUCAAAUCAGAGCAUGUGUUCUGCUGCAAAUGUUUAGAAGUCAUAACAUUUUUAACAUUGGUAUACAACUAAUUACAUCAACAUGUAGACAUAUACCAUACAUUAUGUCAACAUGACUACAGAAAAUGACUAUAACAAUACAACUAAUGACAUCAACAUGCAGAUAUAUACCAUACAUUAUAUCAACAUGACGACAUAAAAUGACUAUAACAAUACACUAAUUUAGUUACAAAUUUUUUUAACAUACUCAAAUCAGAGCAUGUGGUCUGCUGCAAAUGUUUAGAAGUCAUAACGUUUUUAACAUUGGUAUACAACUAAUUACAUCAACAUGUAGACAUAUACCAUACAUUAUGUCAACAUGACUACAAAAAAAGACUAUAAUGAUACACUAAUUUAGUUUCAAAUUUUUUUUACAUACUCAAAUCAGAGCACAUUUCUGCUGCAAAUGUUUAGAAGUCAGAACAUUUUUAACAUUGGUAUACAAACUAUUUACAUCAACAUGCAGACAUAUACCAUACAUUAUAUCAACAUGACUACAUAAAACGACUACAAGUAUACACUAAUUUAGUUUCAAAUUUUUUUAACAUACUCAAAUCAGAGCAUGCUUCUGCUGGAAAUGUUUAGAAGUCACAACAUUUUUAACAUUGGUUAAAUUGCAGUUUGGGCAUACAUACAGAACACUUUUCAAUGAAAUCCGAACAACCAUAGAUUCAUUGUGUAUGUAGUACAGUCACAUAUAGUCAUGAGGCAACCAUAAAUCAUCCCAAUAAACCCUUAAAGUGAAAUUAAAUUGGAUCUACGGGCACAAAUAAUAUAUUUUUGGCAAUAUAUGGUACAAAAAAUUGAUCGGCAAAAAACAAAGGAUUUAGGUAUACAAACUAACCGGCAUCAAGAUGCAUAAUGUCCUGAGGAUUGGGUCUUCGUUUACGCUUCUGUGACGACUUCUUCUUCAUUUCAAAAAGCAGACUCGAAUGUGACUAUCGCAAUUGAAAUUUACGGGAUUUUGACUACCGAAACACCACCAAAAUAAAAUACGACUGUGAAUGGGGAAGGUGGGUUAACGAUUUUGUAGCAACAAUCUUUGAUUUUCGAAUGUGACUACAGAUUCGCUGCUAGUAUUUUGAAUUUUCGCUAGUUUUUGAUUUGGGGGAAAAAUCCCAAUAUGUGGGUCUCCUGCUUCUGGAUGAUGCGGUUUAAUUUUUUUUUCUUUAUAAAUGUUUAAUUAAGAGCAGUUUAUUAGAGAAACUAAUUAAUUAAGCAUAAAUAGCGGGAUUAGGUCCCUUAUUAUUAGGGAUUUUGAAAAUAAUAUAUAAAAUAUAAAAUAAUCGUGAGAUGCUAGUAGAGGGGUAAGAUGGGAAUUAAAUAUUUUAGGGGGUUUUCACAAAGGAAGAUUUUGGGUAUGGACUUAUCACUAGUUUUUAUCUAUAAGAGGGGUGUAUUGCUAAUGACCCCUUAUAAAUAAAGGAAAAAUUAAUGUAUAUGACAAAACUACCCNNNNNNNNNNNNNNNNNNNNNNNNNNNNNNNNNNNNNNNNNNNNNNNNNNNNNNNNNNNNNNNNNNNNNNNNNNNNNNNNNNNNNNNNNNNNNNNNNNNNUACAAAACUACCCCAACCCUUUAUACAUAAUUCUUAACUGUAACCCCAAUUCCAUUAAAUUUGAAACCGCAAUGGUGACAUGUAAGAAAAUUUAUAGUUAAGGAGGAUGGUUGUACUUACCCAAAAAAGAGAAAGGGAUUCGUAAUUUGACAUACCUCGAAGUGAUUGUAAUUUAUCCUCAAGUAUAAUAAUUAAUAGGUAUGCACUAGGUAAUAUUGAUUAAAUACUCUGAACGCUCGGGAUCAAAUCUCUUAAACAUAUAGACGUAAUAUUGUUUACUGACUAGACAUGUUAAAAAUAGGGAAAAUGGAUGAAAUUAUAUUAAACUUGUGUCAAUAAAAGAUGAAAGAGACGUGCUAUUUCCACCCUCGAAAUAUCUUAUUUCACCACCAAAUUAAAUAUAUUUCCAAUUUAACCUCUUUAUUCUUCUAUCACGAUAACCAUCUACCACUAAAUUAAUUAAAAUAUUUAUAAAAAAGUUCCCACAUUUUCACCGGAAAUCAAACCCUCUCCACCAUAAGUGAAUAUACUUUAGUCAAAGAAAAAUAUUUUCGAAGGUCAAAAAGAGAAGGAAUUCACGUUUUUUGAAAAAUAAAUUAAGAUUGCUUGUACCAAAGUUCUUGAACUUUCUUCAGAAUUGGCUAAUUUGGCUUAAUAUAAUUUUGUUUCCUAAAAAAAAAUCAUCUGAUAUGAAUGUUUAAAUAUCUUGUUAAUAAAGAAAUGUUUCAUUGAAAAAAAUAAAAAAAAAUAUAUAAAAAUUAUAGGAUUAAGUGAAUAUAAGGAACAGUGGUGUAUUAUAAAUUUGAGGAAUAUUUGUGACAUUUUAUAGUCUUCGAUGGUGAAUUGAGAUAAUUUGGAGGUGGAAAUAGCACCACGACGAAAUUAACAAAAAAAUGUUACAUGGUCAAAAUCAAUCAAAAUGAGUUAAAUAAAUUAAUAAAAUAGUAAAAGAUGAAUUAAAAACGGUAAUGAUAAGCGUUAAUUGAGCAUUAAUGGGAUAUUUAUAGAUGAGUCAAACAAUGGUUUUUAUUUAUUAAUCAGCAAAAUAAAACCAUAUACUAUUAGCGAAACAGAGAAAUACCACGAGAAACAACAAGCGAAACAGAGAAAUACCACGAGAAACAACAGUAAGUAAAGUAGGGAAUUAGUUACAAUUAGCAAAAAUAUAGCCAUAUUUGGCCAGAUAAUAAUUACAUUUAGAAAUAAGGAUACUUAAUCGAAACUAUGGUUACAUCAAUUGAUCUUUUUGAAUCUGGGUUGGCCUGGUACCAGCAUUAAGUGAUCUUUUGGAAUCUCUGUCCAAGAGAGUGGCACCACUGUGCAAGUAAUUGAAACAGUAGAUAGUCCGGGUUCAUAUGCUUUCCACCCAUUCGGUGUAUAUCCCCAAUUAGCCGGAUACUCCGCAAAAUCGGGAGAAAACGGACCAACAUACGGUUCCAUUGGCUGCACGGGAGUCAUUACGGUAUCGUGGGCCGCUGCCACGACAGACGGGAUAGUCGUGCCCUCUUCGUUUCGGAAUGACAACCAGUACUCCGGCAUGGCCUUCGACUCCGGUGGGAUUCCUUUUCAAGUCGAUUUAUCGUAUGGUUGAUUCAGUGGUGAAACUAUGUUGUAAUUGCGUGAAACAACACUACGGCCCGGGAGAACGGCUAGGUAUUUCGAUUUCUGUUAUUUUAAGAAUUUAAAAAAAAAUAAUAUAAAAUAAAUAUAUAAGGUUUUUUUUGGAAAAAAUAAAUAUAUAAGUUAUAUACCUUAACGUAUUUUCUCUUUUUGGUUUGACAAGGUUGUUGGAUAGGUUGUUGACUAGGUUAACUUGGCUCUGUUGUGUCGUCGGAAAGGGUUUCUUGCAAGGCUGCAGCAAACUCUUCAUCCGAAAACGUCGUGUCGUCAGAAAGGGUGUUGUGUCGUCGGAAAGGGUUUCUUGCAAGGCUGCAGCAAAGUCUUCAUCCGAAAGCGUCGUGUCGUCGGAAAGGGUUCCUUGCUUAUUCCAAAGAAAUGGUUAAAUAGGGAAUCCUCAUUUUGAUUUUUUGUUUUCAUGGAAAAUAGGAGUUAACAAUGGUGGUGAUCGUGUUUUCGGUGGUGAGAGGAGGAGAUAAGUAUGGAAUUAUGUGAAAGAAGAAUUAACAAGGAUGUCUUUUAAUUUUCGCAAGGUGUGAGUUUAACCAAGAUGAUUAUUAAUUGCCAAGUGUGCUAUCAUGCAAAUUACCCAUUUGAAUAUCUAUUUAAUUUAGUCACCAACUUACAUAACACACACAUAUGCGGUUCAUAAUAUAUAGGGGUACGGUUCAUAGUAUAUAGGGGUUUUUGUGCAUAAGUUACUGACCAACCAUCUUUAUUAUUUUAGGUUUAGGGGUUAUAUCUCUUUCGCCAAUAAGCUCAUCCCUUCAAUAUAUUCUAGCAUUUUCGCCCGUGCGAUGCACGGGAUAGCAUUUUAAAUGAAGAUGAUGAGUAAUUUAAUACAUGAUAACUACAAUUAUAAUAAAAUUUAUUAGUGAUAUCGAUAAGGAUAUCAACAUUUAUACGAAUUUAAUAAUAUAAACUCAUUUUCCAAAAACAAAAUACAAACUCAUUAAAAAAAAUUAUAAAAACUUAAUUGUCAAUCAUUAAAUAAAUGUAGCAUAUUUUUAAUUAGAAAAAUAGGUUGGAAAAUAAUAAUAAUAACUAAAAAAAUAUAGAUGUAGUAGAUUAUGAUUGUGCUAGCCGAGAUUUGGUUUUAAAAUAAUUAGAAAAAAUAUAGCUGCAAAAUAGGAGAUAAAAAAAAUAUAUUUAAACAUAAAUUAAUUUAUUUUUACAAAUAUGCUAUUAGGGUUUCUUAGGUUACUCUAGCGUUUCUUUCUUUUAUAUUUUGGAAAAUAAUAAUAAUAACUAAAAAAAUAUAGAUGUAGUAGAUUAUGAUUGUGCUAGCCGAGAUUUGGUUUUAAAAUAAUUAGAAAAAAGAUAGCUGCAAAAUAGGAGAUAAAAAAAUAUAUUUAAACAUAAAUUAAUUUAUUUUUACCAAUAUGCUAUUAGGGUUUCUUAGGUUACUCUAGCGUUUCUUUCUUUUAUAUAUAAGUUAUCAAUUUUUUAUCUCGUAAAUAUUAUUUUCGAUUUGUAUCAGUUUUUUAUCUCCAAAAUAUUAUUUUAAUUAUUAUUUUCGAAUUUUAUCAAAUUUAUAUCUCCUAAAUAUUAUUUUAAAUAUUGUGUUCGAGUUUUAUAUAAAAAAUAUCUCCUAAAUAUUAUUUUUCAAUUUUUAUCAAAUUUUUGUAUUCUUGCCUACAAUGCAAAUAAAUAAAGUAGAUCAUCAACAUUAACUUAAACUUAACUUAAU